Molecule: microRNA precursor, 135 nt
Filed under: Hordeum vulgare
Lineage: Eukaryota; Viridiplantae; Streptophyta; Magnoliopsida; Poales; Poaceae
Description: microRNA MIR1122
Rfam family: MIR1120/MIR1122 microRNA precursor family
Source: RNAcentral
CAUGUACUCCCCCGUUUCAAAAAAAUUGUCUUAGAUUUGUUUAGAUAUGAAUGUAUCUAGUUAAGUUUUAGUAUUUAGAUACAUCCAUUUCUAGGCAAACCUAAGACAAUUUUUUUGAGACGGAGGUAGUAUGUG